CGCUAAGUUUGAUGGCGACCGGCGCACGGGUGAGUAACACGUAUCCAACCUGCCGAUGACUCGGGGAUAGCCUUUCGAAAGAAAGAUUAAUACCCGAUGGCAUAGUUCUUCCGCAUGGUAGAACUAUUAAAGAAUUUCGGUCAUCGAUGGGGAUGCGUUCCAUUAGGUUGUUGGCGGGGUAACGGCCCACCAAGCCUUCGAUGGAUAGGGGUUCUGAGAGGAAGGUCCCCCACAUUGGAACUGAGACACGGUCCAAACUCCUACGGGAGGCAGCAUG
RNAcentral lists this ribosomal RNA (277 nucleotides) under uncultured bacterium. RNAcentral describes it as "partial 16S ribosomal RNA". It matches the Rfam family "Bacterial small subunit ribosomal RNA", at positions 78 to 353 of the family's 1533-position model. The record is from RNAcentral.